RNAcentral lists this ribosomal RNA (2903 nucleotides) under Proteus mirabilis. RNAcentral describes it as "23S ribosomal RNA". It matches the Rfam family "Bacterial large subunit ribosomal RNA". Lineage: Bacteria; Pseudomonadati; Pseudomonadota; Gammaproteobacteria; Enterobacterales; Morganellaceae. The record is from RNAcentral.
GGUUAAGCGAAUAAGCGUACACGGUGGAUGCCUAGGCAAUCAGAGGCGAUGAAGGACGUGCUAAUCUGCGAAAAGCGUCGGUAAGGUGAUAUGAACCGUUAUACCCGACGAUAUCCGAAUGGGGAAACCCAGUAUCCAAUGGAUACUAUCAUUAACUGAAUCCAUAGGUUAAUGAGGCGAACCGGGAGAACUGAAACAUCUCAGUACCCCGAGGAAAAGAAAUCAACCGAGAUUCCCCUAGUAGCGGCGAGCGAACGGGGAGCAGCCCAGAGUCUUAAUCAAUAGCAGUGUCAGGAGAACGGUCUGGAAAGUCCGGCAGUAAAGGGUGAUAGCCCCGUAUCUGAAGAUGCUGUUAUUGUGAACUCGACGAGUAGGGCGGGACACGUGUUAUCCUGUCUGAAUAUGGGGGGACCAUCCUCCAAGGCUAAAUACUCCUGAUUGACCGAUAGUGAACCAGUACCGUGAGGGAAAGGCGAAAAGAACCCCGGCGAGGGGAGUGAAAAAGAACCUGAAACCGUGUACGUACAAGCAGUAGGAGCCUCUUUAUGGGGUGACUGCGUACCUUUUGUAUAAUGGGUCAGCGACUUAUAUUCUGUAGCGAGGUUAACCGUAUAGGGGAGCCGUAGGGAAACCGAGUCUUAACUGGGCGAAUGAGUUGCAGGGUAUAGACCCGAAACCCGGUGAUCUAUCCAUGGGCAGGUUGAAGGUUGGGUAACACUAACUGGAGGACCGAACCGACUAAUGUUGAAAAAUUAGCGGAUGACUUGUGGAUGGGGGUGAAAGGCCAAUCAAACCGGGAGAUAGCUGGUUCUCCCCGAAAGCUAUUUAGGUAGCGCCUCGUGAAUUCAUCUUCGGGGGUAGAGCACUGUUUCGACUAGGGGGUCAUCCCGACUUACCAACUCGAUGCAAACUGCGAAUACCGAAGAAUGUUAUCACGGGAGACACACGGCGGGUGCUAACGUCCGUCGUGAAGAGGGAAACAACCCAGACCGCCAGCUAAGGUCCCAAAGUCAUGGUUAAGUGGGAAACGAAGUGGGAAGGCUCAGACAGCCAGGAUGUUGGCUUAGAAGCAGCCAUCAUUUAAAGAAAGCGUAAUAGCUCACUGGUCGAGUCGGCCCGCGCGGAAGAUGUAACGGGGCUAAACCAUGCACCGAAGCUGCGGCAGCGACACAAAGUGUUGUUGGGUAGGGGAGCGUUCUGUAAGCCUGCGAAGGUGUACUGUGAGGUAUGCUGGAGGUAUCAGAAGUGCGAAUGCUGACAUAAGUAACGAUAAUGCGGGUGAAAAACCCGCACGCCGGAAGACCAAGGGUUCCUGUCCAACGUUAAUCGGGGCAGGGUGAGUCGACCCCUAAGGCGAGGCUGAAAAGCGUAGUCGAUGGGAAACGGGUUAAUAUUCCCGUACUGGUGGUAACUGCGAUGGGGGAACGGAGAAGGCUAGGUUGUCCGGGCGACGGUCGUCCCGGUUCAAGCAGGUAGGCAGAGUGAUUAGGCAAAUCCGGUCACUUAAUGCUGAGAUGUGAUGACGAACCACCAAGGUGGUGAAGCAAUUGAUGCCCCGCUUCCAGGAAAAGCCUCUAAGCUUCAGGUUACCAACAAUCGUACCCCAAACCGACACAGGUGGUCAGGUAGAGAAUACUCAGGCGCUUGAGAGAACUCGGGUGAAGGAACUAGGCAAAAUGGUGCCGUAACUUCGGGAGAAGGCACGCUGGCGGUAGGUAAAGUCCCUUGCGGACGGCGCUGAAGCCAGUCGAAGAUACCAGCUGGCUGCAACUGUUUAUUAAAAACACAGCACUGUGCAAACACGAAAGUGGACGUAUACGGUGUGACGCCUGCCCGGUGCUGGAAGGUUAAUUGAUGGGGUCAGCCGCAAGGCGAAGCUCCUGAUCGAAGCCCCAGUAAACGGCGGCCGUAACUAUAACGGUCCUAAGGUAGCGAAAUUCCUUGUCGGGUAAGUUCCGACCUGCACGAAUGGCGUAAUGAUGGCCAGGCUGUCUCCACCCGAGACUCAGUGAAAUUGAACUCGCUGUGAAGAUGCAGUGUACCCGCGGCAAGACGGAAAGACCCCGUGAACCUUUACUAUAGCUUGACACUGAACAUUGAGCCUUGAUGUGUAGGAUAGGUGGGAGGCUUUGAAGUGUGGACGCCAGUCUGCAUGGAGCCAACCUUGAAAUACCACCCUUUAACGUUUGAUGUUCUAACCUAGGCCCAUAAACUGGGUCGGGGACCGUGUCUGGUGGGUAGUUUGACUGGGGCGGUCUCCUCCUAAAGAGUAACGGAGGAGCACGAAGGUUGGCUAAGCAUGGUCGGACAUCAUGCGGUUAGUGCAAAGGCAUAAGCCAGCUUGACUGCGAGAGUGACGGCUCGAGCAGGUACGAAAGUAGGUCUUAGUGAUCCGGUGGUUCUGAAUGGAAGGGCCAUCGCUCAACGGAUAAAAGGUACUCCGGGGAUAACAGGCUGAUACCGCCCAAGAGUUCAUAUCGACGGCGGUGUUUGGCACCUCGAUGUCGGCUCAUCACAUCCUGGGGCUGAAGUAGGUCCCAAGGGUAUGGCUGUUCGCCAUUUAAAGUGGUACGCGAGCUGGGUUUAGAACGUCGUGAGACAGUUCGGUCCCUAUCUGCCGUGGGCGUUGGAAGAUUGAGAGGGGUUGCUCCUAGUACGAGAGGACCGGAGUGAACGCACCACUGGUGUUCGGGUUGUCAUGCCAAUGGCAUUGCCCGGUAGCUAAGUGCGGAAGAGAUAACCGCUGAAAGCAUCUAAGCGGGAAACUUGCCUCGAGAUGAGUCUUCCCUGUCGCUUUAAGCGACCUAAAGGAACGUUUAAGACUAAGACGUUGAUAGGCUGGGUGUGUAAGCGUAGCGAUACGUUGAGCUAACCAGUACUAAUGAACCGUGAGGCUUAACCUG